UGGGGAAUCUUGGACAAUGGGGGGCAACCCGUGAUCCAGCCAUGCCGCGUGAGUGAUGAAGGCCUUAGGGUCGUAAAGCUCUUUCGCCUGUGAAGAUAAUGACGGUAGCAGGUAAAGAAACCCCGGCUAACUCCGUGCCAGCAGCCGCGGUAAUACGGAGGGGGGUUAGCGUUGUUCGGAAUUACUGGGCGUAAAGCGCACGUAGGCGGACCAGAAAGUUGGGGGGUGAAAUCCCGGGGGCUCAACCCCCGGAACUGCCUCCAAAACUAUUGGUCUAGAGUUCGAGAGAGGUGAGUGGAAUUCCGAGUGUAGAGGUGAAAUUCGUAGAUAUUCGGAGGAACACCAGUGGCGAAGGCGGCUCACUGGCUCGAUACUGACGCUGAGGGUGCGAAAAGCGUGGGGGAGCAAACAGGAUUAGAUACCCUGGUAGUCCACGCCGUAAAACGAUGAAUGCCAGACGUCGGGGGGCAUGCCCUUCGGUGUCACACCUAAACGGGAUUAAGCACUCCGCCUGGGGGAGUACGGCCGCAA
RNAcentral lists this ribosomal RNA (531 nucleotides) under uncultured bacterium. RNAcentral's name for it is "partial 16S ribosomal RNA". It matches the Rfam family "Bacterial small subunit ribosomal RNA", at positions 355 to 891 of the family's 1533-position model. The record is from RNAcentral.